This 253-nucleotide ribosomal RNA is filed under the name uncultured bacterium. Its description in RNAcentral is "partial 16S ribosomal RNA". It matches the Rfam family "Bacterial small subunit ribosomal RNA", at positions 524 to 776 of the family's 1533-position model. The record is from RNAcentral.
UACGAAGGGGGCUAGCGUUGUUCGGAAUUACUGGGCGUAAAGCGCGCGCAGGCGGUUUUCCAAGUCAGUGGUGAAAGCCCGGAGCUCAACUCCGGAAAUGCCAUUGAAACUGUAAAACUUGAGGACGAGAGAGGUGAGUGGAAUUCCCAGUGUAGAGGUGAAAUUCGUAGAUAUUGGGAAGAACACCGGUGGCGAAGGCGGCUCACUGGCUCGUUUCUGACGCUCAGGCGCGAUAGCGUGGGGAGCAAACAGG